Molecule: ribosomal RNA, 501 nt
Filed under: uncultured bacterium
Lineage: Bacteria
Description: bacterial SSU rRNA
Rfam family: Bacterial small subunit ribosomal RNA
Source: RNAcentral
AGAGUUUGAUCCUGGCUCAGGAUUAACGCUGGCGGUAUGCCUAACACAUGCAAGUCGAACGGAAUACUAAUUAAGAGAAUCUCACACUAGUGAGAGGUUCUCACGAGUAGUAUUUAGUGGCGGACGGGUGAGUAACACGUUGGAACCUGCCCCGAAGUGGGGAAUAACUGCUCGAAAGAGUAGCUAAUACCCCAUAGUAUCCGGUUUAUCCGGAUUAAAGAUUUAUCGCUUCGGGAGGGGCCUGCGUCUGAUUAGCUAGUUGGUGAGGUAAAAAGCUCACCAAGGCGACGAUCAGUAGCUGGUUCGAGAGGAUGACCAGCCACACUGGGACUGAGAUACGGCCCAGACUCCUACGGGAGGCAGCAGUGAGGAAUCUUCCACAAUGGACGAAAGUCUGAUGGAGCAAUACCGCGUGCAGGAAGACGCUUUUCGGAGUGUAAACUGCUUUUGUCGUCGAAGAUUAUGACUGUAGACGAAGAAUAAGGACCGGCUAACUACGUG